This 465-nucleotide ribosomal RNA is filed under the name uncultured bacterium. RNAcentral describes it as "partial 16S ribosomal RNA". It matches the Rfam family "Bacterial small subunit ribosomal RNA", at positions 28 to 507 of the family's 1533-position model. The record is from RNAcentral.
GACGAACGCUGGCGGCGUGCUUAACACAUGCAAGUCGAACGGAAAGGCCCCCUUGUGGGGUACUCGAGUGGCGAACGGGAGGGUAAAACGUGAGUAACCUACCCUUGCCUUUGGGAUAACUUCAGGAAACUGGGGCUAAUACCGGAUAGGAGCUCCUGCUGCAUGGUGGGGGUUGGAAAGUUUCGGCGGUUGGGGAUGGACUCGCGGCUUAUCAGCUUGUUGGUGGGGUAGUGGCUCACCAAGGCUUUGACGGGUAGCCGGCCUGAGAGGGUGACCGGCCACAUUGGGACUGAGAUACGGCGCAGACUCCUACGGGAGGCAGCAGUGGGGAAUAUUGCACAAUGGGCGGAAGCCUGAUGCAGCAACGCCGCGUGCGUGAUGACGGCCUUCGGGUUGUAAACCGCUUUCGCCUGUGGCGAAGCGUGAGUGACGGUAAUGGGUAAAGAAGCACCGGCUAACUACGUG